This 77-nucleotide transfer RNA is filed under the name Pseudomonadota bacterium. RNAcentral describes it as "Proteobacteria bacterium tRNA-Val". It matches the Rfam family "tRNA". From Rfam's summary of the family: Transfer RNA (tRNA) molecules are approximately 80 nucleotides in length. Their secondary structure includes four short double-helical elements and three loops (D, anti-codon, and T loops). The record is from RNAcentral. Lineage: Bacteria; Pseudomonadati; Pseudomonadota. RNAcentral also lists the same sequence under 1 other name.
GCGGGUAUAGCUCAGUUGGUUAGAGCGCUACGUUGACAUCGUAGAGGUCCGCCGUUCAAGUCGGCGUACCCGUACCA